CCGGACUCUAAAGAAAAGGAUUCUGGCACCAAUUCACUUCUUGCAAUAUCAAGACUGCCAGUCAGGUUGUCUGUUGCACUAUAAUCGACUUGUUCAGACUCCAAGGAAGUGGACAAUGGCACAACUCCAUUCAUGUCAGGAUCGACACUGCCAGUCUCAUUGGCUGUUGCACUAUAAUCAACUUGUUCAGAGUCUGAAGAAGUGGAUACCGGCACAAAUUCAGUUAUGUCAGCAUCAACACUGCCAGUAAGAUUGUCGGUUGCACUAUAACCAACUUCUUCAGACUCUAAGGUAGUGGAUACUGGCACCAAAUCACUCAUUUCAGCAUCGACGCUGCCAGUCAGAUUGUCUGUUGCACUAUAACCAACUUGUUCAGACUCUAAGGUAGUGGAUACUGGCACCAAAUCACUCAUUUCAGCACCGACACUGCCAGUCAGAUUUUCUGUUGCACUAUAACCAACUUGUUCAGACUCUAAGGUAGUGGAUACUGGCACCAAAUCACUCAUUUCAGCAUCGGCACUGCCAGUCAGAUUGUCUGUUGCACUAUAACCAACUUGUUCAGACUCUAAGGUAGUGGAUACUGGCACCAAAUCACUCAUUUCAACAUCGACACUGCCAAUCAAAUUGUCUGUUUCAAUAUAACCAACUUGUUCAGACUCUAUGGUAGUGGAUACUGGCAUCGAUUCACUCAUGUCAGCAUCGAAACUGCCAGUCAAAUUGUCUGUUGCACUAAAACCAUCUUGUUCAGACUCUGAAAAAGUGGAUACCGGCACAGAUUCAGUUAUGUCAGACUCAACACUGUCAGUCAGAUUGUCU
RNAcentral lists this long non-coding RNA (816 nucleotides) under Medicago truncatula (barrel medic). Its description in RNAcentral is "long non-coding RNA (MTRU_LNC007971)". Lineage: Eukaryota; Viridiplantae; Streptophyta; Magnoliopsida; Fabales; Fabaceae. The record is from RNAcentral.